Molecule: unclassified non-coding RNA, 425 nt
Filed under: uncultured Spizellomycetales
Lineage: Eukaryota; Fungi; Chytridiomycota; Chytridiomycetes; Spizellomycetales
Description: sequence contains ITS2
Rfam family: 5.8S ribosomal RNA (bases 1-154)
Source: RNAcentral
AACUUUCGGCAACGGAUCUCUAGGCUCUCGCAACGAUGAAGAACGCAGCGAAAUGCGAUAAGUAAUGUGAAUUGCAGAAUUCCGUGAAUCAUCAAAUCUUUGAACGCACAUUGCGCUCAGUGGUAUCCCGCUGAGCAUAUCUGUUUGAGAAUCAGUUUAAUUCUCACCUUUGGGUUUCGGCCUAAAUGUGGACUUGGGACUAUUCCGUAAAUGGAGAGACCUUAAACAAAUUUGUCGCCUUGAUAUGACUAGUUAACCAACUGGAAGGCAUGAUUACGCUUUAAUAGCACUUAUGCUGACAACGGGAGGAAGACUACCUAAUCGUGGGUGCAGAAUUAAUCACUAAAGCUUAAAAACUUUAAAGACUUGAUCUCAAAUCAGAUAAGACUACCCGCUGAACUUAAGCAUAUCAAUAAGCGGAGGCU